UGGACUUCCGCCCACUAUUCAGAUGCAAUCCGAGUGCGCUGUCUUCAUUGCUCCUGAACUUUACCUGUAUUUGCAGAAAGCAAUGCCAGAGCUGAGAGGCAGGAACAAAGAGGAGAAAAUAUAAGACUAAAAGGACAGAGCACGAAGAGGGAAACACAACAGGUCACCAACUAUUGCACCUGGAAGAAAACAACCAAACAUUGUUGUGUUGUGAGUGCUGAAGGCCCGAGUUUACACGUGUCAUGGUCCCCAUGUCUGCCCGGCUGACUCAGGUUGGCUACACAUGUUUCUUGUUUACAUCUACCUCUCUCACGCUUGCCGUGUCUCGCCGGGGCGGAGCUCAUUGCGGGCUCCCGCCCCUGGCCCUCGCACCUGAGGUUAAUCACACACCUGUGGCUCAUCGCCUAAACUUAUCCACUACUUAAGGCAGUGGCUGGAAACAUCUCGUCGCUGGACUAUUGAGUAACCUCGGAAUUCCGUUUCCCUGGGAACCCUCGGUGUGCAGGCUUGCUGGUGUGUUUUUGUGAAGUCCCUCGUGUGUGAAGAGCUCCUUUUCUGGAUUCCCCUGUGCCCUGGAUUGCCCCCGCCCUCUCACUUCGCACCUGGUGUUGUACAGCUAUAAACGGAGUCCAUUCCACAUCGUGACAACACGUCCUGAUAACAAUCAUCUUAUCAGGACGUGUUGUCCAUCAGCAGCAGGAGGAGGAAGCAGGCCUCAGCUCCUGAUCUAGAUCUAAAUCUUGUUGACAUAUUCUGUCUCUGCUGCCGACUCACCUGAACAACAAUCAACACUGAAGAAAUCAAAGCUGCAGUUUUUACAUUUGAGGUUAUUUGAAAGAAACUCAUUUAGCUUCGUAGUUUCUGAUCAAACAUUGUUUAUGAGCUCUUCACAUGUUUAGUUUGUGAAAAUAAAGUUUGUAAAGUCACUAAAGUGUAAAACAGAAUGACACGUUAAGGCUGAACCAUGUGUUUCCAUGGUAACAAUUCACUGGUAUCUCAGUACGGCAUCUCUGACAUCAGAUUCUUCUGAUUGUUUCUGCUUUGUUCAGCAGUUUCAGUUCAGCUGAAGUUAGACUAAACAAAAAGCUUCGCUGAUUUAAAAACAGACCAGUGUGUAGUUUGAGUUUGACUCUAUUAAAAUAUUUAAGAUGUUAUUUAAACUAUGAAGAAUAUUUGAUAUGUUUUAUCAAAUUUUAGAACAAGAGUUUUUUGUGAAUCUGAUUCCUGCCAUCAAAUAAAUGGAAAUUAAAACAUC
Long non-coding RNA from Oreochromis aureus, 1255 nucleotides. RefSeq lists it as uncharacterized. The record is from RefSeq and is a predicted model, not a curated record. Lineage: Eukaryota; Metazoa; Chordata; Actinopteri; Cichliformes; Cichlidae. The transcript is spliced from 3 exons.